CAGUCGCCGCGGUAAUACGGAGGGCGCGAGCGUUACCCGGAUUUACUGGGCGUAAAGGGCGUGUAGGCGGCCUGGGGCGUCCCAUGUGAAAGGCCACGGCUCAACCGUGGAGGAGCGUGGGAUACGCUCAGGCUAGAGGGUGGGAGAGGGUGGUGGAAUUCCCGGAGUAGCGGUGAAAUGCGCAGAUACCGGGAGGAACGCCGAUGGCGAAGGCAGCCACCUGGUCCACUUCUGACGCUGAGGCGCGAAAGCGUGGGGAGCGAACAGGAUUAGAUACCCCUGUAGUCCCUGUCUCUUAUAC
Molecule: ribosomal RNA, 301 nt
Filed under: uncultured bacterium
Lineage: Bacteria
Description: partial 16S ribosomal RNA
Rfam family: Bacterial small subunit ribosomal RNA
Source: RNAcentral